RNAcentral lists this ribosomal RNA (855 nucleotides) under Natrialba sp. C21. RNAcentral's name for it is "bacterial SSU rRNA". It matches the Rfam family "Archaeal small subunit ribosomal RNA", at positions 54 to 911 of the family's 1478-position model. Lineage: Archaea; Methanobacteriati; Methanobacteriota; Halobacteria; Halobacteriales; Natrialbaceae. The record is from RNAcentral.
CUAGUCGCACGAGUUCAGACUCGUGGCAGAUAGCUCAGUAACACGUGGCCAAACUACCCUAUAGAUCCGGCCAACCUCGGGAAACUGAGGCUAAUCCGGAAUAACGCUUUCAGCCUGGAGUGGCGAGAGCGUGAAACGCUCCGGCGCUAUAGGAUGUGGCUGCGGCCGAUUAGGUAGACGGUGGGGUAACGGCCCACCGUGCCAGUAAUCGGUACGGGUUGUGAGAGCAAGAGCCCGGAGACGGUAUCUGAGACAAGAUACCGGGCCCUACGGGGCGCAGCAGGCGCGAAACCUUUACACUGCACGCGAGUGCGAUAAGGGGACUCCAGGUGCGAGGGCAUAUAGUCCUCGCUUUUCUCGACCGUAGGGAGGUCGAGGAACAAGUGCUGGGCAAGACCGGUGCCAGCCGCCGCGGUAAUACCGGCAGCACAAGUGAUGACCGCUGUUAUUGGGCCUAAAGCGUCCGUAGCUGGCCAGACAAGUUCAUCGGGAAAUCUGUGCGCCUAACGCACAGGCGUCCGGUGGAAACUGCCUGGCUUGGGACCGGAAGACCAGAGGGGUACGUCUGGGGUAGGAGUGAAAUCCCGUAAUCCUGGACGGACCACCGGUGGCGAAAGCGCCUCUGGAAGACGGAUCCGACGGUGAGGGACGAAAGCUCGGGUCACGAACCGGAUUAGAUACCCGGGUAGUCCGAGCUGUAAACGAUGUCUGCUAGGUGUACACAGGCUACGAGCCUGUGUUGUGCCGUAGGGAAGCCGUGAAGCAGACCGCCUGGGAAGUACGUCCGCAAGGAUGAAACUUAAAGGAAUUGGCGGGGGAGCACUACAACCGGAGGAGCCUGCGGUUUAAUUGGAU